AUUGAACGCUGGCGGCAGGCCUAACACAUGCAAGUCGAGCGGAUGAAGGGAGCUUGCUCCUGGAUUCAGCGGCGGACGGGUGAGUAAUUCCUAGGAAUCUGCCUGGUAGUGGGGGAUAACGUCCGGAAACGGGCGCUAAUACCGCAUACGUCCUGAGGGAGAAAGUGGGGGAUCUUCGGACCUCACGCUAUCAGAUGAGCCUAGGUCGGAUUAGCUAGUUGGUGGGGUAAAGGCCUACCAAGGCGACGAUCCGUAACUGGUCUGAGAGGAUGAUCAGUCACACUGGAACUGAGACACGGUCCAGACUCCUACGGGAGGCAGCAGUGGGGAAUAUUGGACAAUGGGCGAAAGCCUGAUCCAGCCAUGCCGCGUGUGUGAAGAAGGUCUUCGGAUUGUAAAGCACUUUAAGUUGGGAGGAAGGGCAGUAAGUUAAUACCUUGCUGUUUUGACGUUACCAACAGAAUAAGCACCGGCUAACUUCGUG
This 484-nucleotide ribosomal RNA is filed under the name uncultured bacterium. RNAcentral describes it as "partial 16S ribosomal RNA". It matches the Rfam family "Bacterial small subunit ribosomal RNA", at positions 30 to 507 of the family's 1533-position model. The record is from RNAcentral.